This 324-nucleotide ribosomal RNA is filed under the name uncultured eukaryote. Its description in RNAcentral is "partial 18S ribosomal RNA". It matches the Rfam family "Eukaryotic small subunit ribosomal RNA", at positions 1470 to 1796 of the family's 1831-position model. The record is from RNAcentral.
CCCUUAGAUGUUCUGGGCCGCACGCGCGCUACACUGAUGCAUUCAACGAGUUUUUCCUUGGCCGAGAGGCCUGGGCAAUCUUUUAAACGUGCAUCGUGAUAGGGAUAGAUUAUUGCAAUUAUUAAUCUUGAACGAGGAAUUCCUAGUAAACGCAGAUCAUCAAUCUGCAUUGAUUACGUCCCUGCCCUUGUACACACCGCCCGUCGCACCUACCGAUUGAAUGGUCCGGUGAAGCCUCGGGAUUGUGGCGAGUUCCCUUUAUUGGGAGUUUGUCGCGAGAACUUGUCUAAACCUUAUCAUUUAGAGGAGGGUGAAGUCGUAACA